This 19-nucleotide transfer RNA is filed under the name Chalcides ocellatus. RNAcentral describes it as "partial tRNA-Gln". Lineage: Eukaryota; Metazoa; Chordata; Lepidosauria; Squamata; Scincidae. The record is from RNAcentral.
UAGAAAAACAGGACUUGAA